Molecule: ribosomal RNA, 407 nt
Filed under: Ctenophora environmental sample
Lineage: Eukaryota; Metazoa; Ctenophora
Description: partial Bacterial large subunit ribosomal RNA
Rfam family: Bacterial large subunit ribosomal RNA
Source: RNAcentral
CAAUUAAGCGUACGUGGUGGAUGCCUUGGCAGCUAGAGGCGAUGAAGGACGUGGUAGGCCACGAAAGGCUUCGGGGAGCAGUCAAACAUGCUUUGAUCCGGAGGUAUCCGAAUGGGGAAACCCACCCAGUUUACUGGGUACCUUGCACUGAAUAUAUAGGUGUAAGGGGCGAACGCGGAGAACUGAAACAUCUAAGUACCCGCAGGAAAAGAAAUCAACCGAGAUUCCCUGAGUAGCGGCGAGCGAAAGGGGACUAGCCCUUAAGCAACUUGUGUUUUAAGAGAACAGUCUGGGAAGGCUGGCCAUAGUGGGUGAUAGCCCCGUAUCUGAAAAGGCACUUGUUGUGAAAUCGAGUAGGUCGGGACACGAGAAAUCUUGACUGAAUAUGGGGGGACCAUCCUCCAAGG